AAGUCCGCAGUGCUCCAUUCUUCAGGCAGAAAAAACUGUGCUGUUAUUGUCUAAGUGAGAGCCGGGUUGAUCAAUGCCUUUGACCUAUCUUAUGUAAAGAGAGAUAGUCCAAGCUGCAAAAAGAGGCUACCAUCAUUAGCUCCGGAGAGCUGUCAGGAUGAAGAAGCGGUCAACCAACCUUCGAGUGAAGUUACCAGUCUUCCUGUUUGUAUUCCAGGUGAUUUUUGUUGCCAUUUACUUUGCCUUUGUGACCUAUGAUGACCAGGCUGAUGCCCGUUUUCAGACCAAUCAGACCAAUCCCAUGCACAACGCCGUGUACAAGGACUACCCCUUCUUCACAGAUAUACAGGUCAUGAUAUUCCUUGGCUUUGGAUGCUUGCUGGCAUUUUUCCGACUCUAUGGCUUUGGUGGGAUGGUUUUUAACUUUCUGACUGCUACCUUUGCAAUCCAGUGGGCCAUUCUGGUGCAGGGCUAUUUCCAGUUCUACGACAAUGGGAAGAUCCACCUUGGGGUUAUCAAUCUCAUAAAUGCAGAAUUUGCCUGUGCGGUGGUCCUCAUUUCUUUCGGAGCGGUGCUGGGGAAGACCAGUCCACUGCAGCUGCUGGUCAUGGUCCUGCUGGAGGUGCCAGUGUUUGCUGUCACAGAGUGGGUCGUUCUCACGUAUCUGAGGAUCAAUGAUGCAGGAGGGUCUAUUCUCAUUCAUCUCUUUGCCUGCUAUUUUGGACUGGGUGUCACAUUUGUGCUGUACAGGUCUGGUUUAAAUGAGGGCCAUGUUAAGGAGAACAGCAGUUACCACUCUGACAUCCUGUCUGUGAUGGGCACCCUGUUCCUCUGGGUGUUCUGGCCUUCAUUCAACUCAGCACUGACCCUUAAAGGAGAUGACCAGCACCGGGCCAUUCUUCACACCUUCAUCGGCCUCAGUGCCUCCACCCUCACUGCAUUUGCUCUGUCUGCAAUGCUGAACAAAAAGGGAAAGCUCACCAUGGCGGAUAUUCAGAACGUGACCCUGGCAGGAGGAGUAACAGUUGGGGCAUCUGUUGACAUGAUGAUAUCACCUGCUGCUGCGUAUGUGCUGGGUAUGAUGGGUUGCACUGCCUGCAUGCUGGGCUAUAAGUAUCUGAGCCCAUUCUUAGCACAACGCUGCCGGAUCCAGGAUCAGUGCGGGAUACACAACCUGCAUGGACUAACAGGACUUAUUUCAUGCGCAGCAGGGAUAUGUGCCAUUCUGAUGGCUGAUGAGGACAUUUACGGCCCCAGUUUGUAUGAGAUCUUUACUCACAGAGCUCCAGUAGAAGGGGACCCAAAGCUGCAAGAGCUCCAAAUGCUGAUUCCAGGUUUAAAACUGGGUUUGGGAAGGACUGCCAGGGCGCAAGCUCUCUUCCAGGUUGCAGCUGUAUUCUCCACAAUAGGACUGUCAGCACUGGGAGGCAUCCUGACAGGUUAUGUGUUAAAGCUACCUUACCUUGCAUCUCCUUCGGACGACCUCUGUUUUGAUGAUGUGCUGUUUUUUGAAGUUCCCCCAGAUUACGAUGCACCGCUUAAACUCAACUACAAAAUGACAGCAGAGGAUUCUUCAGAUGUGCAGCACCAAAGAGUUGUCAUCCAGUUAAUGGACAACAUGGAAAACAAAUGUGCCUAACUUGUCCUUUUGAACUGAUGAAGCAGUGUUGGUUUUUAUUUUACUAACUACUAAAUACAUGUUUAUAUCCAUUGCACUGUAAAAAAAAUUUUUUUACAUACAUUUUAGUAAUUGUGUUCAUAAUUCAGGCUCUGCAAAAACAGAGGGUUCAGCCAGAGCUUGCAGACAAAGAAUUAUUAUUAUCAGCAAUAUUAUUAAUAUUUCGAAGGGAAAUAUUUAAUCAUUUUUCAACACUUUUCCCUUUCAGUUGAGUUAAUGCGUGUACAUCCCAAUAGUCAGUGAUUACAUUGCACAAGAAACACUAUGCUCAGGUGUUAAUUUAUACCACAAUGGGUGAACAAGACGAAAAAGGUAAUAGCAAUAGUAAUUAAUUAAUUAUUUGACCAGUGAAGAGAAGGAUGCCAGGACGAAAGUUAUCUGAGAGCAGCAGCUUGAAGACCUAACAAACCAGCACCCUAUCCAGGAAUUUAAAAGGUCCCCAGUCUGCUUGUAAAUCCUGUCUACUUGUGACUACCUCUGACAAAACAUAAACAAAUAAAAUCAGUUAACAUUCAGCUAGACGUUAUUUCUGUUCUGUUACUCUGCUCUGCAUAGAUAUAUGGCAGCACUCCUAUAUCUCCCAACAACUGUGUCACCAGAAUGAUUGAUUUUAGAGUCACACUGUGGUUGUGUAAAACAAAGCAACAGUAAAGGGAAGCAGCUGAAAGUCUAAUUUGUUUGCACAUAAUCAGUCUGUGUUUUACACAUGAGGGUUUAACUACACUACAGUAACAUUGUUAUCAGACUUUAUUUUAGUGUGCCACACCACUCAAACUCUGUGAGUCUGCCCACAGUUUGCUGUCUCUGAACAAUAGAGUAAACACUAAAAUGUAUUUUCAAGCUAAUGCUAAAGAUUUGGUGGUUCAUUUCGUUCAGACACUGAGGAAAAAACAAGCUACUGUUGGUGCUAAUUGUGUUUAAACAUGCAAGUGUUUAUUUAUCUAAUUUAAUAAGGCACUUUGUAUCGACACAGGGCACAUAGAAAGUAAAAACUAUGACAAAAUGCCUUACCUGAAAACUGUUAUGCUCACAAAUCUCCCUCUGCCUGGUCUGGCUGCUGACUCAGCUAAAGCUAUAGCAUAAACAGGGUCCUCAGCUCCAGACCUUAGCUUGCUCCUUCCCUUGAAGCCACGAUUCUUGCUUUAGGACAAAAGUCUAUGUAGAAACAAUUGCUUCAUUCUCUUGGGCCCAACAGCAUUUUGAACAGAGAGCUUAUUUUGGUUAGUGGAAAGUAGCCACACACCAAUAAACCCACUGCUGUGAGAAACGUGUUUAUUGUUAAGAAAACAAUUCUGUUCUGUGUUUACAACAAGACGCAGUUGCAUUUUGCUGUUACAAAUGCGACAUACAUGGUAGAGCUUUUCUGUUUUAGAAAUGCAUGGAUCAGAAAAAUUGUCAUUUAAAAUUACCUAUCUGCUUUGAAAAACAAUGAAAAGGCCAGUUGUGAUUUAUUUAUGGUUAUAUUUUUAAGACUUCCAGGUUUUCUGUCUAUAAACUAUGACUUGCUUUUUUAAACAUCAACGUAGUCAGUUUCUUUCCAGGACACGUUCAAACAGGACAAAAGUGAUUUGCAGCAAUUGGUACAACUAGUUGUUUUCUUUUUAAAAGAGGAGGCUGUUGUCUUGGUAAUUUUUUAGAAUACUUCAUAGUUAGCAACAAACUUCAAUGUGUUGUCUUUAAGAGAUACAUAAAAAUUAAAAUAUGUUUUAAUUCAUAAAAAGAAAAAUAUAUGAGAAUACAUGUGGUGGGCUACGGGCUCAUUCAGUAAAUCCAAGGCACUAUACAUUCUGUAGUAUAAAAUUUAAAAACAACACUUUUAAAACCCUAAAUCUUAAAGACAUAUGUUUUAUUAUGAGAUUGCAGUUAAAAUACAAAGCUGUGGAAGUGUCAUUCCAGUUUGAUUUAGAGGUCAUGUAGAUAAUAUGAUUUCAGACCUUUGGAUCUGUCUCUUCUUUGAAUUAGAUAACUGAGUGCAACCGUCAAAAGUAAUAUCAGACAAUUAAUUAUAAUUAAGUACAAAAACGAAUAUAGGGAACCUAAACAUUUUAAAUUAUGUGUUUAAAAGAGAUUUUAUGUGUUACAAGACCACAGUUUUACAUGUUAGAUAGACACCUAAUUACCUUCAUAUCUGUCUCUGCUGAAUAUUUAACUCGCAAAGUCUGCUCAAUGUUUUACUCCUUCUAUUUCUGAUAUUGUAUAAUGUUUAACUCCCUCUUUCAUUGGACAUUUUACUAUCUGUCUGAAUACAUUUCUGUUUCAUUUUAGGCGUCGAUGAAAAUGAGUGAUAAAAAAUAAAACAUAGUUGCAACAUAAUGAGCAAGAGUUUAAACAGAGUUCAAUAUCAAAAGCUCAGCCUGCAUGAAGAUGUAUUACAGUGAAACUGAACAUUUUCAAUUUCCAUUAUUCCAGACUAAAUGUCUGAAAUCUUGACGUAAGAUACUCAAAAUUCUACUACAUUAUAAAAUAGUGAGAAUCUUGAAGUUAUACUGUCCUUCUUCCAUAAAUAAAAGUUCAAAUAAAAAAACAAAUAUAAAAUUAAUUAGAUUUAAAUAUUACUAAAAGUAGAAGUUAAAAAUAAUGGGCAUCUAAGGAAACCAGUACACAUGUUGUCAUCCCACACCAUGUGGUAAAGAGUCCAGGACCAGUGCAGAGGUUUUUUAAUGCUUAGUUUUAUUUCCUUCAAAUAAGAAUUGGAAAUAUGUAGCUUGAAUUUAAACUUGCCUUCCCUGAGUCAACACGUUUUAGAACCAUCUUUUGCUGCGAUAACAGCUGCAGGUCUUUUGUACCAUGUUUCCACUAGCUUUGCACAAAAAGAGAUUAAAAUGUUUACCAAUUCUUGUUGGCAAAAUAGCUCAUGCUCGGUCAGAUUGGAAAGAGAGCAUCAGUGAACAUAAAUUUUUAAGUAUCGCCAUAGAUUCCCAAUUGGAUCUGGAAAGUAACUGGUCUAUUCUCACACAAGAAGAUGCUUUAAAUUAACCCCCUAUUUUGCUUGUAGUUCUGGCUUUAAUUUUAUAGUUGAUAUACUGCUGUGAAGUGAACCCGAGCCCCAGUUGCAAGUCUUUUGCAGCCUAGAACAGGAUUUCUUCCAGUAUUGCCCUGUAUUUAGCUCCAUCUAUCCUCCUAACAACUCUGAACAUCUUUACUACACCCUGCGGAAGAAAAGCAUCUCCCUGGCAUGAUGCUGCCACCACCAUGUUUCGCCAAGUUUCAUUUUCAUUUCUUCUACCUGUUUGCUGUGGCCCUUCCACUUCACAGUAAUGCAUUACUUUGCGCUGGUCUAUCACAUAAAAUCCAUAACACCAUACUGAGGUUUGUGUAUUAAAAUGACACAAUAUGAAAUGUGGGUUAUAAAUACUCAAGGCACUGUAUAACUUACAAUAAAAAACAAAGGCAUGCCUGCCAAUUAAAUAAGAAAAAUUAGUUUAAAAAAAUCAAAUUUGACUACACAAAAAAACAGUAUGUAGUUUGUUUCUUAUUUAAUAAAUCAAUUACCUAAACUGUAUUCCUGAAACUUUUUCUCUCGAAUUUGUUGGCCAAAAUACAGCGACUUUACAAUAAUAUUUGAACAAUUCUCCAGUGUGAAUACCACUAGAGAAUUGUGCAAAUAUUACUGUGAAGUACUGAAAUACUACUUAGGACCAUCAGGUGGCAGUAACAUUUUUUAUUUUUCCACUGGAGAACCAAUCGAAGAAGAAGAAGACGGCGAAGGAGACGGAAGAAGACCGUAAAGCCACGACCUACCUCGAGUAGAUUCUAAUAGCUGGAGCGGAAAAAGAAAAGGUUACAUAACUUCAAAUGGUCUAAAUUCACCGUAGCGGUCUGUGUUUAAGAAGGCGAGAAGCGUCGACGCCAGUACCGUCAGCAGCAUAUUAACCGUGAUAUUCAGACUUUGGCACAGCAUAUCCUCCAUUUCAGACGGACCGAAAUGGCGGAUGAUUUUGACGUUGAGGCCAUGCUGGAAGCUCCAUUCAGAAAAACUUCCCUAAUGAUAUCUCACCUCUACUCCCAUGAAUUCAUCUUUGAUUCCACUGUGAACUGUGAAAAAAAAGGAAGGGCAAGAUGUGUGACAGAGGUGGCAUCGAGCUCUUACAGUCCAAGAACGAAAAUGGGUGAAGAUCACUGGACUGACACCAACCACACAGGAUCUCUUUUAGUGGCCAUGGGCCAUGCGUGGUCACGUGUUUAGGCACAAAUAGUGGCAUUGGUACGACCUGUUAGAGGGGGGUGGGGGAUUGGUGGAGAGGACCUGAUAGUUAUCAAAACUUCCUGAACUCUGCUAAUAUGUUGGACAUCCCUUAACUUUUUAUUGUAGCAUUAAGUACUGACCAGCCUAAUAAUGAUGGGGAAAGGAAGGUAUUGGGGUGGUGGAAGAACUGUCCAGAGUUGACAUUAGAAAGUAUGAAUUAUUAUUAAUUGAAUAUAUUUUGCAUUUUCUCUUGUCUCACCCCCCAACCCCCUUUACCUUGACGACUUGAAAUGUUUCAUCUACGUCCUCAUGAUGUUCUUCUAUAAACCUUGCUUAGGAUGAGAACAAGUCCUAUCAUGCAAAUGGACACGAUGAACACAGCAAGAAG
Molecule: RNA transcript, 6252 nt
Organism: Girardinichthys multiradiatus
Lineage: Eukaryota; Metazoa; Chordata; Actinopteri; Cyprinodontiformes; Goodeidae
Gene: rbm39b
Gene name: RNA binding motif protein 39b
Exons: 4
Source: RefSeq, a predicted model, not a curated record